AGUAACGCGUGGAUAACCUGCCUCACACUGGGGGAUAACAGUUAGAAAUGACUGCUAAUACCGCAUAAGCGCACAGUACCGCAUGGUACAGUGUGAAAAACUCCGGUGGUGUGAGAUGGAUCCACGUCUGAUUAGCCAGUUGGCGGGGUAACGGCCCACCAAAGCGACGAUCAGUAGCCGACCUGAGAGGGUGACCGGCCACAUUGGGACUGAGACACGGCCCAA
RNAcentral lists this ribosomal RNA (225 nucleotides) under uncultured bacterium. RNAcentral describes it as "partial 16S ribosomal RNA". It matches the Rfam family "Bacterial small subunit ribosomal RNA", at positions 109 to 334 of the family's 1533-position model. The record is from RNAcentral.